RNAcentral lists this ribosomal RNA (481 nucleotides) under uncultured bacterium. RNAcentral's name for it is "partial 16S ribosomal RNA". It matches the Rfam family "Bacterial small subunit ribosomal RNA", at positions 28 to 523 of the family's 1533-position model. The record is from RNAcentral.
GACGAACGCUGGCGGCGUGCUUAACACAUGCAAGUCGAACGCUGAAGCCCUUCGGGGUGGAUGAGUGGCGAACGGGUGAGGAACACGUGGGUAAUCAGCACUGCACUCUGGGAUAAGCCUUGGAAACGGGGUCUAAUACCGGAUAGGACACGUGGCCGCAUGGUCUGCGUGCGGAAAGUUCCGGCGGUGCAGGUUGAGCCCGCGGCCUAUCCGCUUGUUGGUGGGGUGAUGGCCUACCAAGGCGACGACGGGUAGCCGGCCUGAGAGGGUGACCGGCCAGACUGGGACUGAGACACGGCCCAGACUCCGACGGGAGGCAGCAGUGGGGAAUCUUGCGCAAUGGGCGAAAGCCUGACGCAGCAACGCCGCGUGGGGGAUGACGGCCUUCGGGUUGUAAACCUCUUUCGACAUCGACGAAGCCUUCGGGUGACGGUAGGUGUAGAAGAAGCACCGGCUAACUACGUGCCAGCAGCCGCAGUAA